UGUCAGAGCGAGAGAGAGACAGAGCGAGAGAGAGAGUGCAUAUUAGGAGCGAUUGGGGGCGCUUCGCCUUCUGAUUCCAUCCCUCCAUUUGCAUUUGCUUUGUGUGUCUCUUGGAUCCUUCGAUUCAGAUCUUCAUCGGCCCCUUGUGGAUUUCUACCGGGAUCUUCUUGUGCAUAAAAAGUCUCCUGCUGAAAACUGGAAGACAAAUAUCAGGGAAUGCUGAAAGAUGUGCUUGAACGCUAGGAGAUCUUCAUCUGUAAAUUUUAAUGUCACUUCAGCCAAGCUGCCCUUGUUCAUCCUUGAUGAUAUUGGAGAGCACAAUAACAUCCACUCUGUGCUUUAUGCACAUUGUUUCGAUGGAGCUAGAUAUAUUCCAAAAGCUGUCGUAUUAGACCACGAUCUUGGGGACGACGGUUGAUAUCAACCACACUGAAGAUACCACUCCUAAAGGAAACAAUACACACCAGUGGGAUUGCUUUUUAGAAUUUUUCAUAUAAUGGAGACAGAAAAUAAAGGGAAUGUGUUGUUGCAGAAGUAUGAGGUUGGUAGAUUACUAGGGAAGGGAACUUUUGCCAAGGUUUACUAUGCUAGGAAUAUAAGAACUUCCCAGAGUGUUGCUAUGAAGGUGAUUGACAAAGAGAAGGUGUUGAAGGUUGGGCUUAUUGAUCAGAUCAAACGAGAGAUAUCGGUGACGAGGCUGGUGAGACACCCAAACAUUGUGGAGCUUUAUGAGGUCAUGGCCACUAGAUCCAAAAUAUAUUUUGUCCUGGAAUAUGUGAAGGGUGGUGAGCUGUUUAACAAAGUUGCUCAAGGCAGGCUCAAAGAAGAUGUUGCUCGAAAAUAUUUUCAGCAGCUGAUUAAUGCCGUGGACUUCUGUCAUAGCCGGGGUGUCUAUCACCGUGAUUUGAAACCCGAAAACCUUCUGCUUGAUGAUAAUGGAAAUCUGAAGAUUUCAGAUUUUGGGUUGAGUGCUCUUGCUGAAUCUAAGAGACAAGAUGGCUUACUCCACACCACUUGUGGCACCCCGGCAUAUGUUGCUCCUGAGGUGCUCAGUAGAAAAGGAUAUGAUGGUGCCAAAGCCGACAUAUGGUCUUGUGGGGUGAUUUUGUUUGUUCUUAUGGCUGGUUAUCUCCCAUUCCAUGAUCCAAAUCUAAUAGAAAUGUAUAGGAAAAUUGGAAAAGCAGAAUUCAGGUGUCCCAAUUGGUUCCCCUUGGAUGUUAGGAAGUUGCUUUCACGCAUUCUUGACCCAAAUCCUACUUCCAGGAUCUCAAUUGCAAAGAUUAUGGGAAAUCCUUGGUUUAGAAAGGGACUUGAUGGAGGAUUAAUAAGAAAUGGCAAAGGAACACAAGAAAUUGAUCAAUCCGAUACCAAUGAGGAUAUUAGUUCCCCCGGUACCAAUGUGUCCGAGGACAGGCGAGAGAUGGGGAAACUUGCUAACUUAAAUGCUUUUGACAUCAUCUCUCUUUCAGCUGGAUUUAAUCUUUCUGGUCUGUUCGAGGAGACCGACCACAAGAGAGAAGCAAGAUUCAUAUCUUGUCAGCCGGCUUCUACGAUUAUCUCAAAGUUGGAGGAUGUUGCAAAGUUUUUGAAGUUAAAAGUGAAGAAGAAGGAUCAUGGGGUGUUGAAAAUGGAAGGAACGACGCAAGGGAGAAAGGGGGUUUUGGCAAUUGAUGCAGAAAUCUUCGAGGUUACGCCAGCGUUUCAUAUGGUCGAGAUAAAAAAGACAAAUGGAGAUACCCUGGAAUACCAGAAAACGUGGAAACAGGACAUCAGACCAGCCCUUAAGGACAUUGUCUGGGCAUGGCAUGGGGAGCAGCAGCAGUCUUAACCUUGAUGCUAAAGUUGCAACAUUCUGAUGCAGGAAGCAGAUAUGUGUUUCGUGCUUAAGAUUAUUGACUGCAAGCUUAUUGUCUGAGGCCUCAUAUGGCUGGCUGUUCUCGUUUACAGUUUAAACCUAGAGGUUUGGCAUAUUUAUCUGUGAAUGUAGCAUGCAAGGGUCUCGAUGGAUUUGUAAUCCCUUCUAGAUUCAUUCUCUUGGGGAGGAAACCUGAACUGGAACAUUCCAGGGUUCGAUGAGUGCUAUUUAUGUGUUACCUACUGUGGCACGUUAAAUGUCUCAGUAAUACCAUCCAAGUCUUUAUGGUACUGCACAAGGAUUACCAUUUCAUGGGCAUGGGACAUGUGCCUAUACCUUCUGAUACAACAUGAUUUUAUACAGUACUAUGGCGCAAGUCCAGAACUGGCUUAAUCAUCAUAUGCUUCGGGCUGCAGUUGUCUUAAUAAUAUUUUCUGAUGUAGCAAGCUGACGUGUGUUUCUUGCUUAAGUAAUCUCCAGAUAUUUUAUAUGCUUGGUAUUGUAUCUGUUUAUAUGUCACUAUGCUGCCUUGUAAGUAUAAAACUUGUGCAAACUAGUGCUUUGCUGCCCUGUGUGUGUAACUUUCAUUGACUUUUUUUAAUAUUACAUUCAUGCUUUGCUGAA
RNA transcript from Musa acuminata AAA Group (dessert banana), 2479 nucleotides. It is a transcript of the gene named CBL-interacting protein kinase 18-like, with no coding region annotated. NCBI's taxonomy places the organism in Eukaryota, Viridiplantae, Streptophyta, Magnoliopsida, Zingiberales, Musaceae. The record is from RefSeq and is a predicted model, not a curated record. The transcript is spliced from 3 exons.